RNAcentral lists this small nucleolar RNA (74 nucleotides) under Polymyxa betae. The record is from RNAcentral. Lineage: Eukaryota; Endomyxa; Phytomyxea; Plasmodiophorida; Plasmodiophoridae.
UUUACAUGAUGUCAAUUCAGUUCUGCUUCUGCAAUCAUUUUGGAGACAAACCAUAUACCAAAACUUUCUGAUUC